AUAUGAAAAGUGGGUCGAAAGUAGUUCUUUGUGGAAAUAGUUCAUACUUUCUCCUCACUUGGCUGAUUUAGUUAGAUAUAGCAUGGUGUGAAAUCAAUGAACUAUAUCAUAUGACCUCUUUGCUUCUCUCUGAAAUACAGCAGGCUAUCUGUAUCUUUGUAUUACCUAAGUCAAUUGGCUAAUUUAUUGGGAAGGGAAAUGGUGAUGAAGAAAGAGGAGGUAUAGGACAAAAAGGAGAAAGAAAAGGAGGAAGGAAGAGAGAUUUUUGAGCCCAUAUAAAACUUGGAGUCCUCUGUGAAGUUUUAAAAAUCUUGAUGCCCUGGGACUACUCCAGAUCAAUUAUAUUAGAAUUUCUUAGGGUGGAACUCAGGAAGCUGUGCAGUCAAGUUUGAGAACAAAUAACAUAGAGUAGAUAACCCACUCCUUAAGUUUCCAAAUUUCAGUAAGUUCUAAGUAGUGUAUCAGGAUCAACUAAAAUACCAGGAUUGCUAUUUGUUCUCUUACCACCACUUAGUGUCUGUAUGAACUCAGUCAAUUCACUCUCCAAGCCUGGAAGCUUGAGACAGUACCAUGUUUCCCUUGGGAGGCUUUGAGUAUUAAAUGGGUUAAUGUACAAUGAAUAUAUAGCACUUUAUCCAGAAUUGAAGAGUUUUGUAACCUGGGAAAACUGAGGAAAUGUUCACCCAAAUAAAUAUUUUUGUAUGCUGUAGAUCAAAUGGUAAAUCCAGGUUAAUAAAUAGUAUUGUUAAAAAUGAUUUUUCCAGGCUUUUGAAAUCAGAUGGUCCUAGAUUUAAGCUGAACUACCCAUUUUCUAGCUUUGUGUUCUUGGAGAAUUAUUUAAUCUUUCUGAGUUUUAGUUAUCACAUCUAUAAAUUGGAGAUAAUAUGUCUAUUGGAAUUGUUAUAAUAAAAUAAGAGCAUAACAUAGUGUAUGACAUAUAAGAAGAGCUCAGGACAUGUUAGAUAUGAUUAUUUCAUAAUUGUUAUUUUUGGUAUACUUUUAGAAUUUCUUUGGCUACUGCAAUUAUUGUUACAGUACUGAAAGAAGAUGUGGCAAAAGUAAGGGUCUAAAAAAUAGAAGACAGUACACAAGUUGACCUUUUAUCUAUAUUUUUUGACACUCAACAUUUUUAUUUUCCUAUAAUUUUAGUAAGCAAAAACUGUUUAAAAUACACAAUAAACUGUUUAGACCAAAAUAAAUAUCUAGCACCAUUGUAGUAGUGGGAAUACACAUAAUUUAAGAGGUUAUCUAUCCCAUAGUAACAGUAGGAAAAUAAACUUGGAAUAGAGAAUUUGUAGAACUGACACAGAAAGACAGGAAAUAAAUGUUCCUAGUAGAUAUAGAUAUGCAUAGUUGCUUUUAAUUUUUCAUUAUUUACUGAGACGUUUCUUUUUCUGAUAGUUUACAAGAAUCUACAGCUUCUUCUCUUCCAUUAUAUCUCGAUAUAAUUGUUUUUAACAUCAAAUUAAAAUUAUGGAAGCUAAUUAUAAAAUUAGAGAAGCUCUUAAUAGCAUAAGGAACAGUUAAUUUCUCCUUGUAUAUAUAUUUUUGUUGUUUAUUAAGAGUAACUUAAAAAUUUUUUGCCUUUAGAAAUAAUAGAUUUGCUGAAUUUGGCAAAUAUUCAUUGCAUAAUGCAUUCUACAUUUGCAAAUCAAAUAUGAUAACAUCUCAGUCAUUUUCAGAAACUUAAUUGCAUCUUGAUUUGUCACAAAAUUGAGAAAAUGUUCCCUAUUAUCGUUCUAGAAGGUAAGAGUUACAUCACUCUGCAAAGUUCCUAAAUUAUUAACUGAUGAGGUGAAUAAAUUUGUUAAUAGGUCAGGCUUGAGGUCUCAGUCGUGGUGACUAGUGGACUAAGACUCUGAAAAAGGUUCCAAGGCCCCAGAUUUUCUGAAUAAAACCAAUCCAAGGCUUGUGAGUUUCAUGCUCAGCAAUUUUUUCCUGUAACCCCUCUAUUUACUCUUGUUUUGUUCAUUAUUUUACCUUUUUUUAUUUUGACAUAUUGAAGAGGUGAAACAACAGUACAAAGAAUUCCUAAUAAUCAUUAUCCAAAUCCCCCAAAUGUUUACACUGUCACAAUUGCUUUUCCUUCUUUCUCUUCCCUCUCUUUUCCUUUCUCUUUUUAAAGAGUGACCACACAGAGAUGAAUAGUAAAAUAACUGAAAUGAAAAUUAUUAUGGAAGGAAUAAAUAGUAGACUAAAUGAUUGAGAAGUAAGGAUCAGUGAGCUGGAAUGCAGAGUAGUGGAAUUUUACUGCCACUGAACAGAAAAAAAAAAUAAGAAAAAAGAACUAAAAGAUAUGAGGACAGUUUAAAAGACCUCUGGAACAACAUCAAGCACACCAAUGUUCACAUUAUAGGGAUCUCAGAAGAGAAGAGACAGAGAAAAGGCCUGAGAAAAUAUUUGAAAAAAUAGUAGAUGAAAACCUCUAUAACCUGGAAAAGGCAAUAGUCAUACAAGUCCAGAAAAUGCAGAGACCCGUAUAGUAUUAACCCAAAGAGGAACACACCAAGACACACUGUAAUCAAAAUGACAAAUGUGAGAAUCUAAAAGCAACAAAUAACAUACAAGGGAACUCUCUUAAGACCAUCAGCUGAUUUUUCAUCAGAAAUUCUGCAGGACAGAAAGGAGCAGCAGGAUAUAUUUAAAGUGAUGAAAGAGGAAAACCUACAACCAAGAACACUCUACCCAACAAGGCUCUCAUACAGAUUUAAUGGAGAAAUCAAAAGCUUUACAGAUAAGCAAAAGCUAAAGUAAUUCAGCAUCACCAAACCAGCCUUAAAACAUAUUUUAAAGUAAGUUCUCUAGGCGAAAAAGAAAAGAGCACAGAUAGGAACAAAGUUAUGGAAUGAAAAAGCUCACUGGUAAAGGCAAACUUACAGUAAUGGUAAGAAAUUAUCCACACAAAGCUAGUAGGGAGGUGAAAAAACAAAAGUAGUAAAGUUAUCUGUAUCUGCAAUAGCUGUUAAGAGAUACAUAAAAUUAUUAUAUGUAAAAUAAAAUAUCAAAAACACUGAUCAUAAGAAAAGGAGAGUACAAAUGCAGGGAAAUUAAAAUGCAUUUGAUGAGUUCCCACUGUGGCACAGUGGAAUCAGUGGCAUCUUGUGAGUGCUGGGACAGGUUCAGUCCCAGGCCCAGCACAGUGGGUUAAACAUCCAGCAUUUCUGAAGCUGUGGCUUAGGUAGAAAAUAUGGCUGAGAUCUGAUCCUGGGCCCAAGAACUCCAUAUGCCAUUGGGUGGCCAAAAACAAAACAGAACAAAACAAAAAAAUUUUAAACUAAGAUAUCAGCAAUGCAUGUGUAUAACAAUAAUCACGUAUGUGUAUAGACUGCUAUAUAAAAAAUUCAAGGUAACUGCAAACCCAGUCUAUAAUAGAUAUAAACACAAAAGAGAAAAAGGAAUUAAAAUAUAACAUUAAAUAGUCAUU
Molecule: long non-coding RNA, 3424 nt
Filed under: Sus scrofa (pig)
Lineage: Eukaryota; Metazoa; Chordata; Mammalia; Artiodactyla; Suidae
Description: lncRNA (ENSSSCG00000056880.1)
Source: RNAcentral